RNAcentral lists this ribosomal RNA (508 nucleotides) under uncultured prokaryote. RNAcentral's name for it is "bacterial SSU rRNA". It matches the Rfam family "Archaeal small subunit ribosomal RNA", at positions 361 to 870 of the family's 1478-position model. The record is from RNAcentral.
AAUCUCGGAAUAAGGGGACCCCGAGUGCCAGUACCUAGUACUGGCUGUCCCGCUGUCUAAAUAACAGUGGUUAGCAAGGGCCGGGCAAGACCGGUGCCAGCCGCCGCGGUAACACCGGCGGCCCGAGUGGUAGCCGUUAUUAUUGGGUUUAAAGGGUCCGUAGCCGGCUUAUUAAGUCUCUUGGGAAAUCUGGCGACUUAAUCGUCAGGCGUCCAAGAGAUACUGAUAGGCUUGGGACCGGGAGAGGUGGGAGGUACUCCAGGGGUAGGGGUGAAAUCUCGUAAUCCUUGGGGGACCACCGAUGGCGAAGGCAUCCCACCAGAACGGGUCCGACGGUGAGGGACGAAAGCUGGGGGCACGAACCGGAUUAGAUACCCGGGUAGUCCCAGCUGUAAACGAUGCUCGCUAGGUGUCAGAUGCGGUGCGACCGCAUUUGGUGCCGCAGUGAAAACUUGAAGCGAGUCACCUGGGAAGUACGGUCGCAAGGCUGAAACUUAAAGGAUUGGCG